GCGAUAUUGUAUGUUGUUGAUGCCGCUGAUAGAGACAGUGUACCUAUAACAAGAACCGAGUUACAUGAACUUUUGAAGAAACCUUCAUUAACUGGAAUUCCUCUGCUCAUCUUGGGAAACAAAAUUGACAAAUCAGAAGCUCUUUCGCAGCAGUCAUUGGUUGAUCAACUAGGUCUCGACUCAAUAACGGAUAGAGAAGUCUGCUGCUACAUGAUUUCGUGCAAGGAUUCUGUAAAUAUCGAUGCUGUUAUCGAUUGGCUAAUCAAGCACUCAAAGACCGCGAAAUAAAGAGCUGCCUCCGGGAUAUAAUAAUCUGGAAAAAUAGAAUAUAGUUCUUUCUGAGGAUCUUGAAAUGAUCUGUUAAUAUAUUUUCUGGCUGGUCUGUCUUUUGUUAGUUCUAUAUAGUCUUUUUUAAUUACAAUUCUGUGCUAUAAAGUGCUUUGAACAAUCAUACAU
RNAcentral lists this unclassified non-coding RNA (456 nucleotides) under Hevea brasiliensis (rubber tree). The record is from RNAcentral. Lineage: Eukaryota; Viridiplantae; Streptophyta; Magnoliopsida; Malpighiales; Euphorbiaceae.